CACGUAGGGCGCGAGCGUUGUCCGGAAUUAUUGGGCGUAAAGAGCUCGUAGGCGGCCUGUUGCGUCCGCUGUGAAAGCCCCGGGGCUUAACCCCCGGGGUCGGCAGUGGAUACGGGGCAGGCUAGAGGUAGGUAGGGGGAGAAUGGAAUUCCCGGUGUAGCGGUGAAAUGCGCAGAUAUCGGGAGGAACACCGGUGGCGAAGGCGGUUCUCUGGGCCUUACCUGACGCUGAGGAGCGAAAGCGUGGGGAGCGAACAGG
RNAcentral lists this ribosomal RNA (258 nucleotides) under uncultured bacterium. Its description in RNAcentral is "partial 16S ribosomal RNA". It matches the Rfam family "Bacterial small subunit ribosomal RNA", at positions 524 to 776 of the family's 1533-position model. The record is from RNAcentral.